This 489-nucleotide ribosomal RNA is filed under the name uncultured bacterium. RNAcentral describes it as "partial 16S ribosomal RNA". It matches the Rfam family "Bacterial small subunit ribosomal RNA", at positions 29 to 507 of the family's 1533-position model. The record is from RNAcentral.
AUGAACGCUAGCUACAGGCUUAACACAUGCAAGUCGCAGGGUAACAUGAGGAAAGCUUGCUUUCCUUGAUGACGACUGGCGCACGGGUGAGUAACGCGUAUCCAACCUUCCCAUAACUACGGGAUAACCCGUUGAAAGACGGCCUAAUACCGUAUGAUAUCGUUUGCUGACAUCAAAUAACGAUUAAAGGUUUAGCGGUUAUGGAUGGGGAUGCGUCUGAUUAGCUUGUUGGCGGGGUAACGGCCCACCAAGGCGACGAUCAGUAGGGGUUCUGAGAGGAAGGUCCCCCACAUUGGAACUGAGACACGGUCCAAACUCCUACGGGAGGCAGCAGUGAGGAAUAUUGGUCAAUGGGCGAGAGCCUGAACCAGCCAAGUAGCGUGCAGGACGACGGCCCUAUGGGUUGUAAACUGCUUUUAUGUGGGGAUAAAGUGCGUGACGUGUCAUGCAUUGCAGGUACCACAUGAAUAAGGACCGGCUAAUUCCGUG